UGUGUUUUGUCCGCGUCGCGGAGCUCGC
This 28-nucleotide non-coding RNA is filed under the name Bombyx mori (domestic silkworm). Lineage: Eukaryota; Metazoa; Arthropoda; Insecta; Lepidoptera; Bombycidae. The record is from RNAcentral.